AAUGAACGCUGGCGGCAGGCCUAACACAUGCAAGUCGAACGGAUCCUUCGGGAUUAGUGGCGGACGGGUGAGUAACGCGUGGGAACAUACCCUUUGGUACGGAAUAGCCUCGGGAAACUGGGAGUAAUACCGUAUGUGGUCGAGAGACGAAAGCUUUAUCCCCAAAGGAUUGGCCCGCGUUGGAUUAGGUAGUUGGUGGGGUAAUGGCCUACCAAGGCGACGAUGCAUAGCUGGGUUCAGAGGAUGAUCAGCCACACUUGGAUCUGAGACACGGCCCUGACUCCUACGGGAGGCAGUAGUGGGGAAUCUUAGACAAUGGGGGAAACCCUGAUCUAGCCAUGCCGCGUGAUCGAUGAAGGCCUUAGGGUUGUAAAGAUCUUUCAGGUGGGAAGAUAAUGACUGUACCACCAGAAGAAGCCCCGGCUAACUCCGUGCCAGCAGCCGCGGUAA
RNAcentral lists this ribosomal RNA (450 nucleotides) under uncultured bacterium. RNAcentral's name for it is "partial 16S ribosomal RNA". It matches the Rfam family "Bacterial small subunit ribosomal RNA", at positions 29 to 523 of the family's 1533-position model. The record is from RNAcentral.